This 75-nucleotide transfer RNA is filed under the name Puniceicoccales bacterium. RNAcentral's name for it is "tRNA-Arg". It matches the Rfam family "tRNA". Rfam says of the family: Transfer RNA (tRNA) molecules are approximately 80 nucleotides in length. Their secondary structure includes four short double-helical elements and three loops (D, anti-codon, and T loops). The record is from RNAcentral. Lineage: Bacteria; Pseudomonadati; Verrucomicrobiota; Opitutia; Puniceicoccales.
GCUUCCGUCGUUCAAUGGAUAGGACACCGGUCUCCGGAAUCGGCAAUUUGGGUUCGAGUCCCAGCGGAAGCGCCA